RNAcentral lists this unclassified non-coding RNA (371 nucleotides) under uncultured bacterium. Its description in RNAcentral is "contains 16S-23S intergenic spacer region". The record is from RNAcentral.
UCCGGUUUGUCACCGGCAGUCUCAUUAGAGUGCCCUUUCGUAGCAACUAAUGACAAGGGUUGCGCUCGUUGCGCCACUUAAGGCAACACCUCACGGCACGAGCUGACGACAGCCAUGCACCACCUGUGCACGAGCCCCGAAGGGCUGCCGUAUUUCUACGACAUUCCCGUGCAUGUCGAGCCCAGGUAAGGUUCUUCGCGUCGCGUCGAAUUAAACCACAUGCUCCGCUGCUUGUGCGGGCCCCCGCCUAUUCCUUUGAGUUUUAACCUUGCGGCCGUAGUCCCCAGGCGGCGAACUUAAUGCGUUAGCUGCGGCACUGAUCGGGUCAAUCCGACCAACACCUAGUUCGCAACGUUUAGGGCGUGGACUAC